Anas platyrhynchos (mallard) is the source of this 853-nucleotide RNA transcript. RefSeq lists it as uncharacterized. NCBI's taxonomy places the organism in Eukaryota, Metazoa, Chordata, Aves, Anseriformes, Anatidae. The record is from RefSeq and is a predicted model, not a curated record.
GAUUGAACCAAAGCUGAGCCUGUGAUACUGCCAGGAGCAAUGCUAAGAAAUACAAGAACAUACACUUGCCAGCUUCAACAGGACAUGGGCUGUGUCUGCCUGUUCAAUAUUGGUAUGUUCCUAGAACUUGUUCUGAACAAGGAAAGAAGGAAAAUGAAAUAUGUAUUCCUGGAGAAACCAAAGACAAAAUAGGAUCACAGCUUUUUCUGCUGCAAGGCUGUGGGAACCUCAUACUGGCAUAUCAGAAAGUGUUUUGCUACUACAGCAAGGUUCAAGCACCUUCUAAAUGCAGCUCUACCAAGUGGAGCUCCACUAGCAUGAAAGCUUUUGGGACAGUUGUUCAUGCUAAACAUCUAUGAAGUUUUGGGGGAUAGUCUCCCUCAUCCCUGUACAUGCAACCUUACAAGGCAGAAUUUAGAGUUUUGUGCUUUAAUUUAUUAUUAAAAUGUGCUUAUUUGCAGUCAGAUCUGAGCUCCUUCACUGAAGCCGAGCUUUCUGAAUUAAUUCCUCUUCCAAUGCCACCAGCUGGGCAGGGUGUUGAUAAAAAAUUAGCCACAGAAGCUUCUCAUGAGUGCAUGAUGGCCACAGAUGUUCUCCAACUUGCUAAGUAGGUUUUAAAUGGGAGAAGGAGGAGAAACAAUUAAAAAAGUGUAUGUCUUCCUUCAGCAUGAGGAAGCUGACCUGUGGAGGGUGAGAGGAUGUGUCCAGCAAUGUCAUCUUAUCAGCACAACACGUUUGCCUACCAGGAUGCAGGAAGGUGGAUGCAUGCAAUCAGGCUGCUUAGACAGGAAGAGAUGAUGGGGCUUCCUGGAGGACACACAAAACUGGCCCUAUUGGCACAGCUACAGAGGAG